GCUCCAAUAGCGUAUAUUUAAGUUGUUGCAGUUAAAAAGCUCGUAGUCGGUUCGGGCGGCUGCGCCGGUCUGCCUUUGGUAUGCACUGGCGUGACCGCUUUUCUGUCGGGGACGGGCUCCUGGGCUUCACUGUCCGGGACCGGAGUCGACGCUGUUACCUUGAGUAAAUUGGAGUGUUCAAAGCAGGCAUACGCUCUGAA
Molecule: ribosomal RNA, 200 nt
Filed under: uncultured eukaryote
Lineage: Eukaryota
Description: partial 18S ribosomal RNA
Rfam family: Eukaryotic small subunit ribosomal RNA
Source: RNAcentral